RNAcentral lists this ribosomal RNA (253 nucleotides) under uncultured bacterium. Its description in RNAcentral is "partial 16S ribosomal RNA". It matches the Rfam family "Bacterial small subunit ribosomal RNA", at positions 524 to 776 of the family's 1533-position model. The record is from RNAcentral.
UACGAAGGGUGCAAGCGUUAGUCGGAAUUACUGGGCGUAAAGCGUGCGUAGGCGGUUUCUUAAGUCCGUUGUGAAAGCCCUGGGCUCAACCUGGGAACUGCAGUGGAUACUGAGAGGCUAGAGUGUGUCAGAGGAUGGUGGAAUUCCCGGUGUAGCGGUGAAAUGCGUAGAGAUCGGGAGGAACAUCAGUGGCGAAGGCGGCCAUCUGGGACAACACUGACGCUGAGGCGCGAAAGCUAGGGGAGCAAACGGG